UACAGAGGUCUCAAGCGUUGUUCGGAUUCAUUGGGCGUAAAGGGUGCGUAGGCGGCGGAGCAAGUCAGGUGUGAAAUCCCGGAGCUCAACUCCGGAACUGCAUUUGAUACUGCUUCGCUAGAGUACUGGAGAGGAGACUGGAAUUUACGGUGUAGCAGUGAAAUGCGUAGAUAUCGUAAGGAAGACCAGUGGCGAAGGCGGCGCACUGGACCAUAACUGACGCUGAGGCGCGAAAGCUAGGGGAGCAAACAGG
RNAcentral lists this ribosomal RNA (253 nucleotides) under uncultured bacterium. RNAcentral's name for it is "partial 16S ribosomal RNA". It matches the Rfam family "Bacterial small subunit ribosomal RNA", at positions 524 to 776 of the family's 1533-position model. The record is from RNAcentral.